Molecule: ribosomal RNA, 465 nt
Filed under: uncultured bacterium
Lineage: Bacteria
Description: partial 16S ribosomal RNA
Rfam family: Bacterial small subunit ribosomal RNA
Source: RNAcentral
GACGAACGCUGGCGGCGUGCUUAACACAUGCAAGUCGAACGGAAAGGCCCUGCUUGCAGUGUACUCGAGUGGCGAACGGGUGAGUAACACGUGCGUGAUCUGCCCUGCACUUCGGGAUAAGCCUGGGAAACUGGGUCUAAUACCGGAUAGGUGCCAUUUUUAGUGUGAUGGUUGGAAAGUUUUUUCGGUUUAGGGUGAGCUCGCGGCCUAUCAGCUUGUUGGUGGGGUAAUGGCCUACCAAGGCGGCUACGGGUAGCCGGCCUGUGAGGGUGGACGGCCACAUUGGGACUGAGAUGCGGCCCAGACACCUACGGGAGGCAGCAGGGGGGAAUAUUGCCCAAUGGGCGCAAGGCUGAUGCAGCGACGCCGCGGGGGGGAUGACGGCCUUCGGGUUGUAAACUCAUUUCGCUAGGGACGAAGCUUUUUGUGACGGUACCUAGAUAAGAAGCACCGGCUAACUACGUG